This 441-nucleotide ribosomal RNA is filed under the name uncultured bacterium. RNAcentral describes it as "partial 16S ribosomal RNA". It matches the Rfam family "Bacterial small subunit ribosomal RNA", at positions 338 to 795 of the family's 1533-position model. The record is from RNAcentral.
CCUACGGGCGGCAGCAGUGGGGAAUAUUGCACAAUGGGGGAAACCCUGAUGCAGCGAAGCCGCGUGAGUGAAGAAGUAAUUAGUUAUGUAAAGCUCUAUCAGCAGGGAAGAAAAUGACGGUACCUGAGUACGAAGCCCCGGCUAACUAAGUGCCAGCAUCCGCGGUAAUACGUAGGGGGCAAGCGUUAUCCGGGUUUAUUGGGUUUAAAGGGUGCGUAGGCUGUGAGGUAAGUUAGCGGUGUAAUGCCCCCGCGCAACGGGGUGAAGUGCCAUUGAUACUGCCUGGCUGGAAUGCGGAUGCCGUGGGAGGAAUGUGUGGUGUAGCGGUGAAAUGCAUAGAUAUCACACAGAACACCGAUUGCGAAGGCAUCUCACGAAUCCGCGAUUGACGCUGAUGCACGAAAGCGUGGGUAUCAAACAGGAUUAGAUACCCCGGUAGUC